UGGGGGAUAUUGGACAAAUGGGGGGGAACCCUGAAUCCAGCGACGCCGCGUGAGUGAAGAAGUAUUUCGGUAUGUAAAGCUCUAUCAGCAGGGAAGAAAGAAAUGACGGUACCUGAGUAAGAAGCCCCGGCUAACUACGUGCC
RNAcentral lists this ribosomal RNA (143 nucleotides) under uncultured bacterium. RNAcentral's name for it is "partial 16S ribosomal RNA". It matches the Rfam family "Bacterial small subunit ribosomal RNA", at positions 355 to 509 of the family's 1533-position model. The record is from RNAcentral.